GACGAACGCUGGCGGCGUGCUUAACACAUGCAAGUCGAACGGAAAGGCCCUGCUUUUGUGGGGUGCUCGAGUGGCGAACGGGUGAGUAACACGUGAGUAACCUGCCCUUGACUUUGGGAUAACUUCAGGAAACUGGGGCUAAUACCGGAUAGGAGCUCCUGCUGCAUGGUGGGGGUUGGAAAGUUUCGGCGGUUGGGGAUGGACUCGCGGCUUAUCAGCUUGUUGGUGGGGUAGUGGCUUACCAAGGCUUGGACGGGUAGCCGGCCUGAGAGGGUGACCGGCCGCAUUGGGACUGAGAUACGGCCCAGACUCCUACGGGAGGCAGCAGUGGGGAAUAUUGCACAAUGGGCGGAAGCCUGAUGCAGCAACGCCGCGUGCGGGAUGACGGCCUUCGGGUUGUAAACCGCUUUCGCCUGUGACGAAGCGUGAGUGACGGUAAUGGGUAAAGAAGCACCGGCUAACUACGUG
Molecule: ribosomal RNA, 468 nt
Filed under: uncultured bacterium
Lineage: Bacteria
Description: partial 16S ribosomal RNA
Rfam family: Bacterial small subunit ribosomal RNA
Source: RNAcentral